Molecule: ribosomal RNA, 430 nt
Filed under: uncultured bacterium
Lineage: Bacteria
Description: bacterial SSU rRNA
Rfam family: Bacterial small subunit ribosomal RNA
Source: RNAcentral
AUUGAACGCUGGCGGCAGGCCUAACACAUGCAAGUCGAACGGCAGCACAGAAGAGCUUGCUCUUUGGGUGGCGAGUGGCGGACGGGUGAGUAACACGUAGGAAUCUACCCAGUAGUGGGGGAUAACCUGGGGAAACCCAGGCUAAUACCGCAUACGCCCUGAGGGGGAAAGCGGGGGGAUCUUCGGACCUCGCGCUAUUGGAUGAGCCUGCGUCGGAUUAGCUAGUUGGUGGGGUAAGGGCCCACCAAGGCGACGAUCCGUAGCUGGUCUGAGAGGAUGACCAGUCACACCGGAACUGAGACACGGUCCGGACUCCUACGGGAGGCAGCAGUGGGGAAUAUUGGACAAUGGGCGCAAGCCUGAUCCAGCCAUGCCGCGUGGGUGAAGAAGGCUCGGUGUAAGCCUUGGUCGGGUAGGAAGGGGACAGUUC